CCUACGGGGGGCAGCAGUGGGGAAUAUUGCGCAAUGGGCGAAAGCCUGACGCAGCCACGCCGCGUGAGCGAUGAAGGCCUUCGGGUCGUAAAGCUCUGUGGGGAGAGAAGAAUAAAGCCUGUGAAGAGCGGGCCUUGACGGUAUCUCCUUAGCAAGCACCGGCUAACUCCGUGCCAGCAGCCGCGGUAAUACGGAGGGUGCGAACGUUGCUCGGAAUCAUUGGGCGUAAAGCGCACGUAGGCUGCGAGGAAAGUUGGGUGUGAAAGCCCUGGGCUCAACCCAGGAAGUGCAUUCAAAACUACCUUGCUUGAAUCUCGGAGGGGGUCAGAGAAUUCCCGGUGUAGAGGUGAAAUUCGUAGAUAUCGGGAGGAAUACCAGUGGCGAAGGCGCUGACCUGGACGAAGAUUGACGCUGAGGUGCGAAAGCGUGGGGAGCAAACAGGAUUAGAUACCCUAGUAGUCCAG
This 464-nucleotide ribosomal RNA is filed under the name uncultured Nannocystis sp. RNAcentral's name for it is "bacterial SSU rRNA". It matches the Rfam family "Bacterial small subunit ribosomal RNA", at positions 338 to 798 of the family's 1533-position model. The record is from RNAcentral. Lineage: Bacteria; Pseudomonadati; Myxococcota; Nannocystales; Nannocystaceae.